UACGUAGGGUCCGAGCGUUGUCCGGAAUUAUUGGGCGUAAAGGGCUCGUAGGCGGUUUGUCACGUCGGGAGUGAAAACUCAGGGCUCAACCCUGAGCGUGCUUCCGAUACGGGCAGACUAGAGGUAUGCAGGGGAGAACGGAAUUCCUGGUGUAGCGGUGGAAUGCGCAGAUAUCAGGAGGAACACCGGUGGCGAAGGCGGUUCUCUGGGCAUUACCUGACGCUGAGGAGCGAAAGCGUGGGGAGCGAACAGG
RNAcentral lists this ribosomal RNA (253 nucleotides) under uncultured bacterium. Its description in RNAcentral is "partial 16S ribosomal RNA". It matches the Rfam family "Bacterial small subunit ribosomal RNA", at positions 524 to 776 of the family's 1533-position model. The record is from RNAcentral.